AGUCGAACGGAUUCAUAUGAGAUUAUAUCAAGUGUGGGUCAGUGGCGGCACUGGUGCGUAACACGUGAACAAUCUGCCGGAAGGAAGGGGAUAGCCCAUGGAAACGUGGAUUAAUACCCUGUGUGGUUCCGAGAGGCAUCUCUCGGCAACUAAACGUGGCGCAAGCUGCGGCCUUCCGAUGAGUUCGCGGCCUAUCAGCUUGUUGGCGGGGUAACGGCCCACCAAGGCGAUGACGGGUAGCUGGUCUGAGAGGAUGACCAGCCACACUGGAACUGAGACACGGUCCAGACACCUACGGGUGGCAGCAGUCGAGAAUCAUUCACAAUGGGCGAAAGCCUGAUGGUGUGACGCCGCGUGGAGGAUGACGGUCUUCGGAUUGUAAACUCCUGUCAUGUGAGAGUAAGAUUCAGGGAGUAACUGCCUGUGAAUUUGAGAGUAUCACAAGAGGAAGAGGCGGCUAACUCUGUGCCAGCAGCCGCGGUAAUACAGAGGCCUCAAGCGUUGUUCGGAAUCACUGGGCGUAAAGGGUGCGUAGGCGGCGCGGAAAGUCAGGGGUGAAAUCCCGGAGCUCAACUCCGGAACUGCCUUUGAUACUCCCGCGCUUGAGAACUGGAGGGGACAUCGGAAUUCACGGUGGAGCAGUGAAAUGCGUGGAUAUCGCGAGGAACACUAGUGGCGAAGGCGGAUGUCUGGACAGUAUCUGACGCUGAGGCACG
This 716-nucleotide ribosomal RNA is filed under the name uncultured bacterium. Its description in RNAcentral is "bacterial SSU rRNA". It matches the Rfam family "Bacterial small subunit ribosomal RNA", at positions 60 to 755 of the family's 1533-position model. The record is from RNAcentral.